Molecule: long non-coding RNA, 277 nt
Filed under: Sorghum bicolor (sorghum)
Lineage: Eukaryota; Viridiplantae; Streptophyta; Magnoliopsida; Poales; Poaceae
Description: long non-coding RNA (SBIC_LNC018178)
Source: RNAcentral
GUGGUAGAAAAAUAAAUACGAUACUCUGGAUAAUUUCCCGGGUGAAGUGCUCACCGAUAUCCGUGCGCUUGCGGAUCAAUUCCUUAUUGCGUUCCCAAAUAUCAACAAGCAUUUCUGGCGCCGUUGCCGGGGAGAAAGACGGUUGCUGAGAUAACCUGAGUCUUACUACUAGCUUGUAUCUAUAUUUUUAUCUUUUCUUAUCUUUUAUAUUCUUUAUUUAUUUUCUUUACUCUUACCUUAUGGAAAACAAAAUUCUAAAUCGAUCCAUGAGUCUGCA